GAGACACCCCUAUGGCGCAGGACUUGCUUCAGUGGGGCUUUGGUGUUCACUGAGUCUACCCCUUGAGUGUGUCGCU
This is a non-coding RNA of Myotis lucifugus (little brown bat), 76 nucleotides long. The record is from Rfam. NCBI's taxonomy places the organism in Eukaryota, Metazoa, Chordata, Mammalia, Chiroptera, Vespertilionidae.